UAUAUGUACAGUCUAUGGUCCACACGUAGCCGGAGAUAUUUUUCUACGUUUUGGCCUGCCAUCCACACGAAAACGGAGGUUUUUCACAUGAAAACAGAUCUUUUUAAAAACUCCGGCCAAAGUGAAUAUCUGCGUUUUCUCCGUUUUGGGUGUCUGUGUGUGGACAGACAAAACCGGAGUUUUAAGCUCCGCAACGUCACUUUCCGUGACAAAAAAAUGCUGACAUCACGUGUGCGACCUGUGUUUACACUAGCCGACAGCAUAGAUGCCCUCAGAGCUGCGCUCGCUUUAUCAAUUGUCCAAGCACUUUUUGCUUGUUUGUUUUUGCAAGCGGAAUUACUGCUCCUUGUGGAAGACCACAGACGAAGGACGAGGUUAAGAACGGGGGAAGUACUGCCGCCUACAGGUCUGGUAUGUCCUUAACAACGUAUUUAUCCGGGUAUGUGUGGACAGAGUUUUUUUUUUUAAACGAGGUGGUGUGGAUGCAAGUUUUUGGAGGGGCAGAUAAUCGUUUUUUUAAAAAAAAACCUGGCUACGUGUGGACUAGGCCUCAGAAACAUCAUGAAUAAACAGCAUUCAGUGGUGGAACGUCUGGUGAUUGGAACUAUUGAGCUGACUCGCUUUACUUCAUUAUUUUCAUUGAUGUCAGUGGGAGUGUGUCAUGAGCCAGGGUGAGUACUCCUCCUUAUUCCACCUCUGAGCUGUGUGUUGCAGGAGAGGGAGGUUCCAAGCUGCAUCUCGUUGGCAAUCAGUGGGCCCGGCUACUUAAGGAGGAUGGAGAACACACCUUGACGCCGGAUGAUUACUACUGCUUGGUAGUGCUCUUGAGUUUCUUGGACUAUUGUGAACGUUGGAUUUCUGUGAUUACCUGUCUCCAGGUUUUUGAACGUCUCUGAUUCAGCGACUCCUCUGGAUUACUCACCCAUGCUUCAUAGGACUUCUGGACACAGCUCUCAACCGUUCUCCAUUCCUCCUAACUGACUGGCUCUCCUGACCUCCUCACGCUCCCUCUCCUGGACCCCUCACUUUAUACCCUGGCUCUCAACCUGCCCUCCCUCAUUCUGAUUCUUCCCCAUCUCCAGAUGCUGUGCUCCCGUUUCUCGAUCCCCACUGGACUUACCAGUGCACCUUCAGUUCCCGUUUAUAAAUUUUAUUUUUUUUUACCAUCAAUCUGUGAGCUGUUGUUUUUCUGCAUGUCUUGGGUUAGAUGUAUUCCCCAGAUCAUGACAGUGUCUGAACUCUGUUAUGAACGGUACUGAUUCUGUGCUACUAAUGGUAAUAUUAAAAAUUAAUUUGAAAUUUCUGGAUUUUACACAUGAGAAUUUUCAUAUUCCUAAAUGUAAAUGGUAAAAAAAAAAAAAAAAAAAAACUCUGUUCAAGGACUACAAAAGGACAAAAUCUUUAAAAUUAGAACACAUUCCUUCUCUACUUAAAGUUCUCCCUGUUAUGUGCUUUCCCCAUCUAGUGGCAUGCUGGGGUAAUUCAGCAUUGGAUUAAUUUUCAUGAUCAAAGAAAAUGGACAUCUGUUAAACACCCAUGAAUAGAACCUAAAAAUGUACUAUUUCCCAAGAUUUCUAAAUGUAAUUGUCCCUCACCUCAAGAGGUUUUUUUUUAUUUUUCAAAGCAAAAAUAAUCAUAUUUUCCUGUUUGAAUUUCUAGGAAAAAUAAAAUCAAAUUUUUGAA
Nothobranchius furzeri (turquoise killifish) is the source of this 1683-nucleotide non-coding RNA. NCBI's taxonomy places the organism in Eukaryota, Metazoa, Chordata, Actinopteri, Cyprinodontiformes, Nothobranchiidae. The record is from RefSeq and is a predicted model, not a curated record.